GGUGGAUGCCUUGGCACUAAGAGCCGAUGAAAGACGUGAUAAGCUGCGAAAAGCUUCGGGGAGGAGCACAUAUCCAAUGAUCCGGAGAUAUCUGAAUGGGGAAACCCGGCAGAGGAAACCUCUGUCAGCGUGCAGUGAAUACAUAGCUGUACGUGGGGAACCCGGGGAACUGAAACAUCUAAGUACCCGGAGGAAGAGAAAGAAAAUUUAUCGAUUUCCAAAGUAGCGGCGAGCGAAAUGGAAAGAGGCCAAACCGGAGUGCGUGCACUCCGGGGUUCGGACCGCAUUUAAGAUCUGAUGAUCCUAGCAGAAAGGUUUUGGGAAAGCCUGCCGGAGAGGGUGAAAGCCCCGUAAGCGAAAGGAAAGCCAGCUGAGCGGUAUCCAGAGUACAUCGAGACACGAGAAACCUUGAUGGAAUGAGCGGGGACCACCCCGUAAGCCUAAAUACUACUUAGUGACCGAUAGCGCAUAGUACUGUGAAGGAAAGGUGAAAAGGACCCCGGGAGGGGAGUGAAAGAGAACCUGAAACCCUGUGUCUACAAGCUGUGGGACCUCUUUAUAUGAGGGACUGCGUACUUUUUGUAGAACGGUCCGGCGAGUUGUGCGUACUGGCGAGGUUAAGGACUUAAGGUCUGGAGCCGAAGUGAAAGCAAGCGUUAAUAGCGCGUCAAGUCAGUGAGUGCAGACCCGAAACCGGGUGACCUAUCCAUGUCCAGGUUGAAGCUUCCGUAAGAGGAAGUGGAGGACCGAACCCACAUCCGUUGAAAAGGGUGGGGAUGAGGUGUGGAUAGCGGAGAAAUUCCAAUCGAACCCGGAGAUAGCUGGUUCUCCUCGAAAUAGCUUUAGGGCUAGCCUCAUGAGAGUCUUAUGGAGGUAGAGCACUGAAUUGCCUAGGGGGCGUCAAAGCUUACCAAAGCAUAUCAAACUCCGAAUGCCAUCAAGAUGAUUCAUGGGAGUCAGACCAUACGAGAUAAGUUGGAUGGUCAAAAGGGAAAGAGCCCAGACCUACAGCUAAGGUCCCAAAGUGCGUGUUAAGUGGAAAAGGAUGUGGGAUUUCGAAGACAACUAGGAUGUUGGCUCAGAAGCAGCCAUACAUUCAAAGAGUGCGUAAUAGCUCACUAGUCGAGAGGUCCUGCGCCGAAAAUGUCCGGGGCUAAAACACGACACCGAAGCUUAGGAAUGUAUGUAAAUACAUUGGUAGAGGAGCAAUCUUAACGGGAAGAAGCGGUACUGUAAGGUAUUGUGGACUGUUAAGAAGAGAGAAUGCCGGAAUGAGUAGCGAGAUGGAGGUGGGAAUCCUCCAGGCCGAAUAUCUAAGGUUUCCAGAGUAAAGCUGAUCUGCUCUGGGUAAGUCGGGACCUAAGGCGAGGUCGAAAGACGUAGUCGAUGGAUAACAGGUUGAAAUUCCUGUACCGCAUAUAAACAGAACUGUGGGGACACAGACAGGGAAUGGAAUCCGGGAAUGGAUAUCCCGGUGCAAGCGAGGUAGGAGUGCUGUUGGCAAAUCCGCAGCACGAUCUGAAGACGUGACGCGUACCGAACAUAAGUAGGGAAGUCCAGGCCCCUGGCUGUCAAGAAAAGCCGCUAUUGUUUUAUAUGUGCCCGUACCGCAAACCGACACAGGUGGAUGAGGAGAGAAUCCUAAGGCCGACGGGAGAAGUAUUGUUAAGGAACUCGGCAAAAUGACUCCGUAACUUCGGGAGAAGGAGUGCCAUGAGAGUGGCCGCAGAGAAAUGGCCCAAGCAACUGUUUAGCAAAAACACAGGUCUAUGCAAAACCGCAAGGUGAAGUAUAUGGGCUGACGCCUGCCCGGUGCUGGAAGGUUAAGGGGAGAGGUUAGCGCAAGCGAAGCUUUGAACUUAAGCCCCAGUAAACGGCGGCCGUAACAAUAACGGUCCUAAGGUAGCGAAAUUCCUUGUCGGGUAAGUUCCGACCCGCACGAAAGGCGUAAUGAUUUGAGCGCUGUCUCGACAAUGCACCCGGUGAAAUUGAAGUACCAGUGAAGAUGCUGGUUACCUGCGCCAGGACGGAAAGACCCCAUGGAGCUUUACUCCAGCUUGAUACUGGGAUUCGGUAUUGUAUGUACAGGAUAGGUGGGAGGCUUUGAAGUGGUUACGCCAGUAGCCAUGGAGCCGCUGUUGGGAUACCACCCUUGCAGUACUGGGUUUCUAACCAGCAGCCGUGACCCGGCUGGGGGACAAUGUCAGGUGGGGAGUUUGACUGGGGCGGUCGCCUCCGAAAGGGUAUCGGAGGCGCUCAAAGGUUCCCUCAGAAUGGU
This 2278-nucleotide ribosomal RNA is filed under the name human gut metagenome. RNAcentral describes it as "bacterial LSU rRNA". It matches the Rfam family "Bacterial large subunit ribosomal RNA", at positions 23 to 2331 of the family's 2925-position model. The record is from RNAcentral.